GCAAGGCAGUGAUGAUAAACACUUUAGCAAACACGCCAGUUCUGCUUCUGAUAAUUCAUGACAGAAAAACCAGUUAUAGAUCUGAGCCAUGC
Molecule: non-coding RNA, 92 nt
Organism: Brachypodium distachyon (stiff brome)
Lineage: Eukaryota; Viridiplantae; Streptophyta; Magnoliopsida; Poales; Poaceae
Source: Rfam